This 2929-nucleotide ribosomal RNA is filed under the name Bacillus amyloliquefaciens. Its description in RNAcentral is "23S ribosomal RNA". It matches the Rfam family "Bacterial large subunit ribosomal RNA". The record is from RNAcentral. Lineage: Bacteria; Bacillati; Bacillota; Bacilli; Caryophanales; Bacillaceae.
GGUUAAGUUAGAAAGGGCGCACGGUGGAUGCCUUGGCACUAGGAGCCGAUGAAGGACGGGACGAACACCGAUAUGCUUCGGGGAGCUGUAAGCAAGCUUUGAUCCGGAGAUUUCCGAAUGGGGAAACCCACCACUCGUAAUGGAGUGGUAUCCAUAUCUGAAUACAUAGGAUAUGAGAAGGCAGACCCGGGGAACUGAAACAUCUAAGUACCCGGAGGAAGAGAAAGCAAAUGCGAUUCCCUGAGUAGCGGCGAGCGAAACGGGACCAGCCCAAACCAAGAGGCUUGCCUCUUGGGGUUGUAGGACACUCUGUACGGAGUUACAAAGGAACGAGGUAGAUGAAGAGGUCUGGAAAGGCCCGCCAUAGGAGGUAACAGCCCUGUAGUCAAAACUUCGUUCUCUCCUGAGUGGAUCCUGAGUACGGCGGAACACGUGAAAUUCCGUCGGAAUCCGGGAGGACCAUCUCCCAAGGCUAAAUACUCCCUAGUGACCGAUAGUGAACCAGUACCGUGAGGGAAAGGUGAAAAGCACCCCGGAAGGGGAGUGAAAGAGAUCCUGAAACCGUGUGCCUACAAGUAGUCAGAGCCCGUUAACGGGUGAUGGCGUGCCUUUUGUAGAAUGAACCGGCGAGUUACGAUCCCGUGCAAGGUUAAGCAGAAGAUGCGGAGCCGCAGCGAAAGCGAGUCUGAAUAGGGCGAAUUGAGUACGUGGUCGUAGACCCGAAACCAGGUGAUCUACCCAUGUCCAGGGUGAAGUUCAGGUAACACUGAAUGGAGGCCCGAACCCACGCACGUUGAAAAGUGCGGGGAUGAGGUGUGGGUAGGGGUGAAAUGCCAAUCGAACCUGGAGAUAGCUGGUUCUCUCCGAAAUAGCUUUAGGGCUAGCCUCAAGGUAAGAGUCUCGGAGGUAGAGCACUGAUUGGACUAGGGGCCCCUACCGGGUUACCGAAUUCAGUCAAACUCCGAAUGCCGAUGACUUAUCCUUGGGAGUCAGACUGCGAGUGAUAAGAUCCGUAGUCGAAAGGGAAACAGCCCAGACCGCCAGCUAAGGUCCCAAAGUAUACGUUAAGUGGAAAAGGAUGUGGAGUUGCUUAGACAACCAGGAUGUUGGCUUAGAAGCAGCCACCAUUUAAAGAGUGCGUAAUAGCUCACUGGUCGAGUGACUCUGCGCCGAAAAUGUACCGGGGCUAAACGUAUCACCGAAGCUGCGGACUGUUCUUCGAACAGUGGUAGGAGAGCGUUCUAAGGGCUGUGAAGCAAGACCGGAAGGACUUGUGGAGCGCUUAGAAGUGAGAAUGCCGGUAUGAGUAGCGAAAGAGGGGUGAGAAUCCCCUCCACCGAAUGCCUAAGGUUUCCUGAGGAAGGCUCGUCCGCUCAGGGUUAGUCGGGACCUAAGCCGAGGCCGAAAGGCGUAGGCGAUGGAUAACAGGUUGAUAUUCCUGUACCACCUCCUCACCAUUUGAGCAAUGGGGGACGCAGGAGGAUAGGGUAAGCGCGGUAUUGGAUAUCCGCGUCCAAGCAGUUAGGCUGGGAAAUAGGCAAAUCCGUUUCCCGUGAAGGCUGAGCUGUGAUGGCGAGCGAACUAUAGUAGCGAAGUUCCUGAUUCCACACUGCCAAGAAAAGCCUCUAGCGAGGUGAGAGGUGCCCGUACCGCAAACCGACACAGGUAGGCGAGGAGAGAAUCCUAAGGUGAUCGAGAGAACUCUCGUUAAGGAACUCGGCAAAAUGACCCCGUAACUUCGGGAGAAGGGGUGCUCUGUUAGGGUGCAAGCCCGAGAGAGCCGCAGUGAAUAGGCCCAGGCGACUGUUUAGCAAAAACACAGGUCUCUGCGAAGCCGUAAGGCGAAGUAUAGGGGCUGACGCCUGCCCGGUGCUGGAAGGUUAAGAGGAGCGCUUAGCGUAAGCGAAGGUGCGAAUUGAAGCCCCAGUAAACGGCGGCCGUAACUAUAACGGUCCUAAGGUAGCGAAAUUCCUUGUCGGGUAAGUUCCGACCCGCACGAAAGGCGCAACGAUCUGGGCACUGUCUCAACGAGAGACUCGGUGAAAUUAUAGUACCUGUGAAGAUGCAGGUUACCCGCGACAGGACGGAAAGACCCCGUGGAGCUUUACUGCAGCCUGAUAUUGAAUGUUGGUACAGCUUGUACAGGAUAGGUAGGAGCCUUGGAAACCGGAGCGCCAGCUUCGGUGGAGGCAUCGGUGGGAUACUACCCUGGCUGUAUUGACCUUCUAACCCGCCGCCCUUAUCGGGCGGGGAGACAGUGUCAGGUGGGCAGUUUGACUGGGGCGGUCGCCUCCUAAAAGGUAACGGAGGCGCCCAAAGGUUCCCUCAGAAUGGUUGGAAAUCAUUCGCAGAGUGUAAAGGCACAAGGGAGCUUGACUGCGAGACCUACAAGUCGAGCAGGGACGAAAGUCGGGCUUAGUGAUCCGGUGGUUCCGCAUGGAAGGGCCAUCGCUCAACGGAUAAAAGCUACCCCGGGGAUAACAGGCUUAUCUCCCCCAAGAGUCCACAUCGACGGGGAGGUUUGGCACCUCGAUGUCGGCUCAUCGCAUCCUGGGGCUGUAGUCGGUCCCAAGGGUUGGGCUGUUCGCCCAUUAAAGCGGUACGCGAGCUGGGUUCAGAACGUCGUGAGACAGUUCGGUCCCUAUCCGUCGCGGGCGCAGGAAAUUUGAGAGGAGCUGUCCUUAGUACGAGAGGACCGGGAUGGACGCACCGCUGGUGUACCAGUUGUUCUGCCAAGGGCAUCGCUGGGUAGCUAUGUGCGGACGGGAUAAGUGCUGAAAGCAUCUAAGCAUGAAGCCCCCCUCAAGAUGAGAUUUCCCAUUCCGCAAGGAAGUAAGAUCCCUGAAAGAUGAUCAGGUUGAUAGGUCUGAGGUGGAAGUGUGGCGACACAUGGAGCUGACAGAUACUAAUCGAUCGAGGACUUAACCAA